The sequence is a transfer RNA, 69 nucleotides long. It matches the Rfam family "tRNA". Rfam says of the family: Transfer RNA (tRNA) molecules are approximately 80 nucleotides in length. Their secondary structure includes four short double-helical elements and three loops (D, anti-codon, and T loops). Further hydrogen bonds mediate the characteristic L-shaped molecular structure. tRNAs have two regions of fundamental functional importance: the anti-codon, which is responsible for specific mRNA codon recognition, and the 3' end, to which the tRNAs corresponding amino acid is attached (by aminoacyl-tRNA synthetases). tRNAs cope with the degeneracy of the genetic code in two manners: having more than one tRNA (with a specific anti-codon) for a particular amino acid; and 'wobble' base-pairing, i.e. permitting non-standard base-pairing at the 3rd anti-codon position.
GGGUGCGUAGCUCAAAUGGCAGAGCCCCUCCUUUGGGAGGAGAUGCGGGUUCGAAUCCCGCCGCACCAC